CGGUGUAGCUCAGCUGGUAGAGCAGCUGACUUGUAAUCAGCAGGUCGGGGGUUCGAAUCCUCUCGCC
RNAcentral lists this transfer RNA (67 nucleotides) under Cloacibacillus evryensis. It matches the Rfam family "tRNA". Rfam says of the family: Transfer RNA (tRNA) molecules are approximately 80 nucleotides in length. Their secondary structure includes four short double-helical elements and three loops (D, anti-codon, and T loops). Lineage: Bacteria; Thermotogati; Synergistota; Synergistia; Synergistales; Synergistaceae. The record is from RNAcentral.